This 639-nucleotide ribosomal RNA is filed under the name Triticum aestivum (bread wheat). RNAcentral's name for it is "partial small subunit ribosomal RNA". Lineage: Eukaryota; Viridiplantae; Streptophyta; Magnoliopsida; Poales; Poaceae. The record is from RNAcentral.
AUGGAGGUCGAGAAAGGACGCAAUAUGUCGCAGAUUGGAGGAUAUGGAUGGGCCCGUUUCCUUGCCCACAUGCGUCUUACUGGUGGUGAGUUGAUCAGCUUCUCCUUCAGAGCAGAAAGACCCAAGCUGGCUAUCAUUUAUCUCAACCUGGUGGAAGAUGACGAAGAUGAUGAAGACGACGAAGAUGAUGAAGAUAAUGAGGACCCACUAUAUGAAGAUGAUGAGAACCCACUUCAUGAAGCCAGCAUAGCUCAAAGAAUGAGGCUGAGCGAGGAGGAGGUGUGCAACCUAUGGGACAUAAUUCCGCCACGUGAUGACUUUGUCGGGGUGCCAUCCGUGACCCGCUUGACAAGUACCAUGGCCGAUCGGCAUGAAAUGAAAUUGCCAAAGAACCUAUCUAUGAGUUGUGGUAUUGAGCCUGAUGAAGAAGGCUCAGCUGGACUAUGCCUUACCGCAAGGGGCUCCGUCACCACCUGUACUUACCGCAUGGACACAGACGGUCGCACACACUUAAACUCGGUUGGGUGGAAGAGAUUCCUCGUUGGCAAGAAUCUUCGUGUUGGACAGGCCAUCCUAAUUACUAUCAGGAACACCGAGCGCCCAGGCUUGAGGAUGAUGAUCAUCGUCGAUAUCAUCUAG